This 781-nucleotide long non-coding RNA is filed under the name Ananas comosus (pineapple). RNAcentral describes it as "long non-coding RNA (ACOM_LNC021630)". Lineage: Eukaryota; Viridiplantae; Streptophyta; Magnoliopsida; Poales; Bromeliaceae. The record is from RNAcentral.
AUCUUUCCAUUCUGAUAUUGCUACCUCAAAAUUAAAUAAUUAUCUCUCUUUUAUGAUCAGCCCGGAAUAGGGAAAAAAAAAAGAAAAAGAAAAAAAGAAAAAAACAAGAAGGCAAAAAAAAACUUAUAACCAGUGUAUAUUUUAGGCCCAGUAAUUUAGCUAAAAUGGAAAGUCCGGUAAUUUAUCCAAAAUUGCACAAAGAGAAAACAAUGUGUAAGGAGUACCGUAGUGAGCCUUACUCAGGCCCGUUAAGGGCCAUUUUAUUUAUACAGCAUUACCAUCAAAGUUUUUGAUGAAUCUUUCAAGCCGAAGCCCAAUUUCACCUAGGGCAUUUCAAGUUGAAAAUAAAUACGAACUUCGGCUUCAGUAUAUAAUAAACUUUAUGUCACAUCUAUGGCACGGAUUUUAUCCUGAUUCAUCGAUCUCGUGCAACCCGCUUUUUCAUUUAUUUUAUUUAUAAAUAAAUUUAGCUAAAAAUAUAAAUCAAUUAGAAUUCGGACUUAAAAUUUUAAAUAUCAAUCACCAAGUCCUUUGACACUUACGUUAGAAAUAUUUUACUGCUUAAAAUAUUAGGUUAUAUACAAUAUAAUUAUGCUGUACUCCUGUCAGGAUGGUGCUUCCUUAAUAUUUAAUAUCAAACCUUCUCAAUAAAGUUGGGCAAUAUGCAACUUAAUUAUAUCAUAUUCCUAUCGGCUUUCAAUAUAUGCAUCCUACCAACCUAGUCAUUUUCAAACUAGAAAAGGACCGGACUUUACAUGAAAAAUAAUAUACGCGUCUAAUU